This is a long non-coding RNA of Saccostrea cuccullata (small rock oyster), 491 nucleotides long. RefSeq lists it as uncharacterized. The transcript is spliced from 3 exons. NCBI's taxonomy places the organism in Eukaryota, Metazoa, Mollusca, Bivalvia, Ostreida, Ostreidae. The record is from RefSeq and is a predicted model, not a curated record.
GUGAUACAACAUAACUUAAAUAGAUUAUAGAGGUCCCAAGGCACCGUAUGUUGUAAAAUGGCAACGUUUCGCCUUUCACCAUGUUUAUUAAAAUGUAUGCUCAAUAUGUAUGUUCUCUCUCUAAAUAUAAAUGAAUACUUUUCGGAUUUAAACAAAAAUAUAUUUUUAACCCCGCUCAAAUUAUCCGGAUGAUAAUAGUUAUACCGAGCAUGGUUUCGUAGUUAAAUUCAGACUGUAGUACAUCCGGUUUGAAUACAUACAUGUGUUUUCUUCUGACUUUCCGUUUUCGGAUAGCCAACUCUUUUGAUUUUUGGAACUUAUGACUUAUGGCAAGAGAGAAGAAAACUGCAUGACUUUAAAAGAAAACCAGUGAGAUAAAAUCAUAUAAAAUGUAUGAUGAUUCAGGAUGUGGUCAUUUGAGACCUGUUCUGUGGAUGCCCUUAGACAGUGUAUCUACCCAUCACGCCAUCUGAUAUCACUUGUUCUGAGCA